UCUCUGGUGGUCCAGUGGCUAAGAUGCUGUACUCAAACGUAGAGGCCCCAGGUUCGAUCCCUGGUCAGGGAA
Molecule: transfer RNA, 72 nt
Filed under: Bos taurus (domestic cattle)
Lineage: Eukaryota; Metazoa; Chordata; Mammalia; Artiodactyla; Bovidae
Also listed under: 2 other names
Rfam family: tRNA
About the family: Transfer RNA (tRNA) molecules are approximately 80 nucleotides in length.
Source: Rfam by way of RNAcentral